UGGGGAAUUUUGGACAAUGGGGGAAACCCUGAUCCAGCCAUCCCGCGUGUGCGAUGAAGGCCUUCGGGUUGUAAAGCACUUUUGGCAGGAAAGAAACGUCGCGGGUUAAUACCCCGCGGAACUGACGGUACCUGCAGAAUAAGCACCGGCUAACUACGUGCCAGCAGCCGCGGUAAUACGUAGGGUGCAAGCGUUAAUCGGAAUUACUGGGCGUAAAGCGUGCGCAGGCGGUUCGGAAAGAAAGAUGUGAAAUCCCAGAGCUUAACUUUGGAACUGCAUUUUUAACUACCGGGCUAGAGUGUGUCAGAGGGAGGUGGAAUUCCGCGUGUAGCAGUGAAAUGCGUAGAUAUGCGGAGGAACACCGAUGGCGAAGGCAGCCUCCUGGGAUAACACUGACGCUCAUGCACGAAAAGCGUGGGGAGCAAACAGGAUUAGAUACCCUGGUAGUCCACGCCCUAAAACGAUGUCAACUAGCUGUUGGGGUCUUCGGACCUUGGUAGCGCAGCUAACGCGUGAAGUUGACCGCCUGGGGAGUACGGUCGCAAGAUUAAAAACUCAAAAGGAAAUU
RNAcentral lists this ribosomal RNA (568 nucleotides) under uncultured bacterium. RNAcentral's name for it is "partial 16S ribosomal RNA". It matches the Rfam family "Bacterial small subunit ribosomal RNA", at positions 355 to 911 of the family's 1533-position model. The record is from RNAcentral.